Streptomyces sp. is the source of this 507-nucleotide non-coding RNA. The record is from Rfam. Lineage: Bacteria; Bacillati; Actinomycetota; Actinomycetes; Kitasatosporales; Streptomycetaceae.
GCGCCGUGUACUCCCAGAUGGCCUCCGGGUCGGUGAGGGCCUGCUCGCCGAAGUACGCGCCGUCGGCGAGGACGCCGAGGACGGAGUCGUCUCCGUAGGGGCCGGUGCCGAUCUUCUCCACGCGGCCGUGGGCCAGGAGGAAGACGGCGUCGGUGCGGCUGCCGAAGGGGGCGAGUGUCUCACCGGCCUCGAACUCGCGCUGCUCGCAGCGCGAGGCCAGUUCGCCGAGGACGUCCUGCUCCUGGAACUCCCGCAGCGCGGGCAGUUCGCCCAGCUCUGCGGGGAUGACCUGGACGCGGUCCCCGGUCUUCACGAAGGUGACCCGGCCGUCGCCGACCGAGUAGCUGAGCCUGCGGUUGACCCGGUACGUACCGCCCUGCACGUCCACCCAGGGCAGCGUGCGCAGCAGCCAGCGCGAGCUGAUCUCCUGCAUCUGCGGCACGGACUUGGUGGUGGUGGCCAGAUUCCGCGCGGCGGAUGUGGCCAGACUCUGCUGGGGUGUGGCCU